RNAcentral lists this transfer RNA (77 nucleotides) under Acinetobacter baumannii. Its description in RNAcentral is "tRNA-Ala". It matches the Rfam family "tRNA". Rfam says of the family: Transfer RNA (tRNA) molecules are approximately 80 nucleotides in length. Their secondary structure includes four short double-helical elements and three loops (D, anti-codon, and T loops). Lineage: Bacteria; Pseudomonadati; Pseudomonadota; Gammaproteobacteria; Moraxellales; Moraxellaceae. The record is from RNAcentral.
GGGGCCAUAGCUCAGCUGGGAGAGCGUCCUGCCUUGCACGCAGGAGGUCAACGGUUCGAUCCCGUUUGGCUCCACCA